Molecule: ribosomal RNA, 253 nt
Filed under: uncultured bacterium
Lineage: Bacteria
Description: partial 16S ribosomal RNA
Rfam family: Bacterial small subunit ribosomal RNA
Source: RNAcentral
UACGUAGGCAGCGAGCGUUGUUCGGAAUUACUGGGCGUAAAGAGUGUGUAGGCGGUGCUCUAAGUUCGGUGUGAAAUCUCCCGGCUUAACUGGGAGGGUGCGCCGGAAACUGGAGUGCUCGAGCGUGGGAGAGGAAAGCGGAAUUCCUGGUGUAGCGGUGUAAUGCGUAGAUAUCAGGAGGAACACCUGCGGUGUAGACGGCUUUCUGGACCAUUGCUGACGCUGAGACACGAAAGCGUGGGUAGCAAACAGG